Molecule: small RNA, 186 nt
Filed under: Enterococcus mundtii
Lineage: Bacteria; Bacillati; Bacillota; Bacilli; Lactobacillales; Enterococcaceae
Description: Listeria sRNA rli28
Rfam family: Listeria sRNA rli28
Source: RNAcentral
GGCGAUAUGCUAUACUUUUUGGGACAGUAAAGUUGAAUGACGGUGGCGACUUCGAAAAAAGGUGGUGGUGCGUAUGGAGAUAAGUACUGAAAUCAAGGAAAGGAGAAGCCUUUUGUCUGUUGAAACAGCGUUAGGGCUAAUGAUUAGUUUCGGUUCAUUUACCGCUACUUUGAUCUUUGGUAUCCU